AGUCACGCAGUCCAAAACAAACUAGUUGGCGAUCACAUGUCAAUUUAGCCUGAUAAAGAUUGGUAUUCAAGGUUUUCGUCUCGUGUAGGCAGAGUUGAAACUACCGAUGUACACCCAAUAUCCUGAGUUUCACAACAGCUGUAGAAAUGGAGGAAACCACGUUUAGCUACAAUUUUAUUCCGAGUCGAACGGUGGAUGAAGUGAUCGACUUGAUGCGAUCUAGUUUUACACCUGAACAUAUGUCAACAGAGGAAGUCGUGGCUUUAUUUCUGUCCAUCUCUGAAGUGCCGUUGGCUCGUUGUAUGGGUUCUCUGCAAAAAACGUUACUGACGGAGAUAACCAAGCUGUCAAAGUCAGGUCGCCGACGUUAUUCUUACGGUGAAAGGUCCAGUACCGAGAACGGAGAGAGCAGAGUACUUCAGUUAGCUGCAGAAGAAAAUGAAGAUGUCAGUUACGACAACGAUGGCACAGACACAGGUCACAUGCAGACCACAGCGAUACCAAAGCAGACCCAGAUCCACCAUACUGAGGCAGUGGAUCAAGCCUCCACCACACAUGUAGUCUGUUCAGGACAGCAGGAUGAUGCUGAUGCACCUAUGUGUCCACACGGGAGAGAAGCCUUACUCCUGCUCCGACUGCAACAAGACCUUCCACAGACAGGAACCUGACAAACUACUACACCAAGGGGGGUGGGGCUCCGCCUGCCCGCGCACCUUCUUCCGUUCUGACGGAUGCAAGCACACGGGAGAGCAGCCGUUUCCGUGCCUGUACUGUGAGAAGAUGUUUGCGACCGCCGGUAUGAUGAAGGCGCACGCCCUGUGCCACCUGAGUGAGCAACCUCGCCCGUGUCCCCAGUGUGACAAGAGCUUCAGAACAGUGUAUGAUCCGAGUCAUCAGCUGGUGACACAAGGCCCUUCCUGUGUGUGAAGUGUCUCAAGGCCUUCAGGACAGCAAGGAUUCUGCAUAACCACAAGGUCCACCACAUGGAGGACCGUGACCACACCUUUGAGGACUGCAACAAGACACCAUCACCUGAAGCUCCACUCAGAGGAUACGCCCUACGUCUGUCCCGACCGCGGCAAGGGAUUCCUCCGACCCGACCGCCUCACCCUCCAUCACCGUACCCACGUUACAGAGCCCAAAUCCAGGAAGACGCGCCACAAGUGUUCCAUGUCUCCUUGGUGAACGCCCGCAGGCACACCUCACUGUUCACCUUAAUGUUGAGCACGGCGUCGAACCGUCCACCCCCCACGGGGUCAAGGUCAAAGUUUAACUGUCAUCUGGAUUGGAGGCAAAGACUAGGACAGGUCAAACCCAAACCGCCUUCGUUCAGGUGACCUGUGUCGGGUUAGUUUUACAGGUCUGAACCAACUGGAUAACCACAGCUGUGACACGGUGAGACGGAGUCAGAGACACAGACAGUUCCAGCAGAACAGGAGGAUCACAAUGAAGAAGUCAGAGCAGAGUUUGGUGUUGAAAGAAGAAAACGUGUUCCCGUCUUAUAAACUACUUGUCAGUGUCUAGUAGUACACGCCAUAGACACCAGCUUGUGUCAGGGAGUGCUGUAGCAGGGAAUACAGAUCUAGGACCAGUUGUUAAACCACAGCUUGUGUCAGGGCCGGGGAGUGCUGUAUCAGGGAAUACAGGUCUAGGACCAGUUGUUAAACCACAGCUUGUGUCAGGGCCGGGGAGUGCUGUAUCAGGGAAUACAGGUCUAGGACCAGUUGUUAGACUGUAGCUUGUCAGGGCCAGGGAGUGCUGUAGCAGCAAGAACAGGUCUAGGAACUGUUGUUAGAAUGCAGUGUGUCAGCAGGAAGAACAAGUCCCAGGUCUGUUUUUAUGAUUGUAGCCAACCAGGGAUUGGGACAGCCUCUGACCUUGUUCCAAGUACCUGUUCACAACUCCUGGUAGAGUCACAGCACCAUCUACAGGCCAAACAGUGAAACAACAUCCUCUGUGACUAGUUUACAUGGCUGUGGUAUCAUCCACAGCAACACCCAUAGCACCAGUAUAGUAUCCAAACCCAUAGUAACACUAGUAAAUCCCUGACAAGUCUCACCCGUAGCAGCUAAACACAUAGUAGCAGCACCAGUCACCUCCAUGGCCAGACCAGCAAUGACAUCACAACUAUGGCAACACCAGUAACUCCCAGGUGAAGACCAAAUGUUUUUUUGUUAAAUAAAUGAUAUAUUAAACAGGGACAGGGACGGACCCUUUUAGUUGCAAAAUGUUUUGCUACAGCGUUUAACGAAUGAAUUCACCCAUAGCUACUACUCCUCCAUGCUAACAGUUGGCUGAAGUAAGCCCUGAUAUGAGUGUCAAUGAAUUCACCCAUAGCUACUACUCCUCCAUGCUAACAGUGGGCUGAAGUAAACCCUGGUAUGAGUGUCAAUGAAAAGACCCAUUGAAACAUGUCUCUAAAACAAAGUUUACUUACAAAUACCCAAAAGCCAUUGACAGUAAGAAUGUACAGGGAUAAAUGCUAUUUGUAUGACCAUACAAACUGAUCAGAUAUACUUCAAGUUUCUUUCAUAAAGAACAGUCAUUCUAACAUGCAAACACAAAGCCUUGUACAGGAUGAAGAACUGAUUAUGUGAACACGUUUAGGAUUACAAAUGUGUUGGUUCACUAUUCUAACAUUUAAGCCUUGGAACAUUUGAUUAAACAGUUAAGACUAUAAAAGUUACAUGUUCCAUUUCUUGUUAGGUCUACAGCUUUGCCAUAAUCCCCUGUCUGAUUUCCUCCACAAAACCAAUAAAUCUUCAUUUGUUUCAGCUGCAAUAUAUUUUAUAUAGUGUUUUUCUCAGAGAAGUAAAUUAAUCCUACAGACACUAUGAAAAUUCAACCUUGUUGGUUAACCAAUUAUGUAUAUAUAAAAUUCUGAAAUGUAAAAAAUAUAAAUCUAGAGU
Long non-coding RNA from Salvelinus namaycush (lake trout), 2909 nucleotides. RefSeq lists it as uncharacterized. The transcript has 4 exons. The record is from RefSeq and is a predicted model, not a curated record. Lineage: Eukaryota; Metazoa; Chordata; Actinopteri; Salmoniformes; Salmonidae.